This is a small nuclear RNA of Nannospalax galili (Upper Galilee mountains blind mole rat), 157 nucleotides long. Its record names the gene U1. It matches the Rfam family "U1 spliceosomal RNA". From Rfam's summary of the family: U1 is a small nuclear RNA (snRNA) component of the spliceosome (involved in pre-mRNA splicing). Its 5' end forms complementary base pairs with the 5' splice junction, thus defining the 5' donor site of an intron. Lineage: Eukaryota; Metazoa; Chordata; Mammalia; Rodentia; Spalacidae. The record is from Ensembl.
GAGUGUACCUGGCAGGGGAGAUGAUAUGCUCACAAAGGUGGUUUUCCCAAGCAGUGCUUAUCCAUUGCACUCUGGAUGUGCUGACCCCUGUGAUUUCUCCAAAUAUGGGAAUUCAACUGCAUGAUUUGUGGUAGUGGGGUCUUCAUACGUUCCCCUA